Molecule: transfer RNA, 74 nt
Filed under: Syntrophomonadaceae bacterium
Lineage: Bacteria; Bacillati; Bacillota; Clostridia; Eubacteriales; Syntrophomonadaceae
Also listed under: 1 other name
Description: tRNA-Gln
Rfam family: tRNA
About the family: Transfer RNA (tRNA) molecules are approximately 80 nucleotides in length. Their secondary structure includes four short double-helical elements and three loops (D, anti-codon, and T loops).
Source: RNAcentral
UGCGGGAUGGUGUAGUGGUAGCACAGGUGACUCUGGAUCAUCUAGCCCAGGUUCGAACCCUGGUCCCGCAGCCA